CCGGGCGCGCAGGUGAGCGGCAGCCGGGGUGGCUGCGGGCGAGGGGCGGCCCCCGAGAAGGGCUAGGGGCUCGGGGCGCCGGCGGGCCGUCAGGCCUUCCGGAUGGGGACGCGACGCCAUGCAGCUGGCUGGGCCGAGAGGGGCGGCAGGCUGCAGGGGCCCCGCGCCCGUGUUAAGAGGGGUCUGGGGGCCGGUCUGGCCGGCCUGGCUCUCCCGGCUCCCCUCAGACCUCGGCGCCCCGGAAACGCACACUUGGGGCUCCGCCGUCUCCGCUGGGAGGACUGGAGCCCUUCUCGAGCAUCCCCGCCCGCACCCGAGCAUUGACCGGUGCCCAUUGUCAGCAAGUUCUUCGGCCCCCGCCUCAUUCAGGUAUUGUUUCUGAGGCAGCUUCUUCGUUGCCGUUUGCCUGGCGGUUUGCAGAGCGCUUCUCGCAUACGCUCGCUUAAUCCUGGGUGUGUCAUAGCAACGAUCAGGAAACUUGGGUUUUCGAAGCAUCUGUGGGCAAAACUGCAUUCCUUGAGAAAUGCUAAAGGCUCCUGACCCCGCCGGAACCUGGGUGAAGAACUUGGGCUGUUCUGGCAGUCUGCGCAAUCGUAUUUCUGCCUUUUGGGAGGUAACUCCUGCAGAGGCGGAGCCGGCUGUUAAGUUAAGUCAACCUCGAAAGGCCUGGGUGCGGGUGUUCUAUGGCCCAGAAGCCAGAUGUCCUUCGUUAGAAUCCCGGCACUGACACCUAUUAGCCGCCCAGCCACUUUGAGCGGCCACUGCCCUCCCCGAGCCCACGUUGCCUCCUUUGCCGAGUGUGAGCGGAUUAAAAUCUUAUGUGCAUGGAUUUGUUGGGAAGAUUAAAUGAUAUGAGUAGGGCACGAACCUGAACAGAGUCCUGAAACAUACAGCUGUUUAAUCACAGUGAAUUAAGACGACCAGUUUAAGGAGUGAAAUGUUUACUGUCUCGGCAACUUUCAUGAAUGCCUUGGAAAUACAGCCCAAAAUAUUGGUAGAUGGAGAAACAUCUGGUUCCCCUUUCCACAACCACCUUUUCGUUUUAGAACCAGGGUACUUUGUAUGCAGUUGCUUGGAUUGUUGAUUUCCCUCAUUCUUUGUAGACUCAUCUCAAGUAUUCUCAGUAACUUAGAUUCCCUUGCUCUUCAUUCAGAAAUAUUUGUUAAGGUCCAUUAAAUGAAAGUCACCACAGUUGAUCAUGUGAACAGUGUCAAGAAUCAGGCCGAACCUUCAAGGAGUUUAUGUUCUAAAACGGAAGCAUGGUGGUACCUGCUUGUGGAGGCUGAGGCGGAAGGAUCGCUUGAGCCCAGGACUUUGAGGCUGCAUAAUUGCAUUGACGCUAUCCAUAGAGUGCCUGCAAUUUCAAAUAUCAGAAAGGAUCGUACGAGCUAUGAUCAUGCCACUGCACUCCAGCCUGAACCACAGAGCAAGACCCUUUCUCUC
Molecule: long non-coding RNA, 1443 nt
Filed under: Homo sapiens (human)
Lineage: Eukaryota; Metazoa; Chordata; Mammalia; Primates; Hominidae
Description: non-protein coding lnc-AK7-2:2
Source: RNAcentral